GAUGAACGCUGGCGGCAUGCCUUACACAUGCAAGUCGAACGGCAGCACGGGUGCUUGCACCUGGUGGCGAGUGGCGAACGGGUGAGUAAUACAUCGGAACGUACCUUAUCGUGGGGGAUAACGCAGCGAAAAGCUGUGCUAAUACCGCAUACGCCCUGAGGGGGAAAGCGGGGGAUCGAAAGACCUCGCGCGAUUAGAGCGGCCGAUGCCUGAUUAGCUUGUUGGUGGGGUAAAAGCCCACCAAGGCGACGAUCAGUAGCUGGUCUGAGAGGACGAGUCAGCCACACUGGGACUGAGACACGGCCAGACUCCUACGGGAGCAGCAGUGGGGAAUUUUGGACAAGUGGGGGAAACCCUGAUCCAGCAAUGCCGCGUGAGUGAAGAA
This 385-nucleotide ribosomal RNA is filed under the name uncultured bacterium. RNAcentral's name for it is "bacterial SSU rRNA". It matches the Rfam family "Bacterial small subunit ribosomal RNA", at positions 28 to 412 of the family's 1533-position model. The record is from RNAcentral.